RNAcentral lists this ribosomal RNA (523 nucleotides) under uncultured bacterium. RNAcentral describes it as "bacterial SSU rRNA". It matches the Rfam family "Bacterial small subunit ribosomal RNA", at positions 355 to 896 of the family's 1533-position model. The record is from RNAcentral.
UGGGGAAUAUUGGACAAUGGGCGCAAGCCUGAUCCAGCCAUGCCGCGUGAGUGAUGAAGGCCCUAGGGUUGUAAAGCUCUUUUGUGCGGGAAGAUAAUGACGGUACCGCAAGAAUAAGCCCCGGCUAACUUCGUGCCAGCAGCCGCGGUAAUACGAAGGGGGCUAGCGUUGCUCGGAAUCACUGGGCGUAAAGGGUGCGUAGGCGGGUCUUUAAGUCAGGGGUGAAAUCCUGGAGCUCAACUCCAGAACUGCCUUUGAUACUGAGGAUCUUGAGUUCGGGAGAGGUGAGUGGAACUGCGAGUGUAGAGGUGAAAUUCGUAGAUAUUCGCAAGAACACCAGUGGCGAAGGCGGCUCACUGGCCCGAUACUGACGCUGAGGCACGAAAGCGUGGGGAGCAAACAGGAUUAGAUACCCUGGUAGUCCACGCCGUAAGCGAUGAAUGCCAGCCGUUGGAGGGUUUACUCUCCAGUGGCGCAGCUAACGCUUUAAGCAUUCCGCCUGGGGAGUACGGUCGCAAGAUUA